RNAcentral lists this unclassified non-coding RNA (271 nucleotides) under plant metagenome. RNAcentral describes it as "partial contains small subunit ribosomal RNA and internal transcribed spacer 1". The stretch from base 1 to 47 matches the Rfam family "Eukaryotic small subunit ribosomal RNA", at positions 1785 to 1831 of the family's 1831-position model. The record is from RNAcentral.
AAGGUCGUAACAAGGUUUCCGUAGGUGAACCUGCGGAAGGAUCAUUACAAAGUAAAUGCUGGUAGGAAGUGGGGUCUUGAUCUGUAAGUGGUAGAGCGAAGCAGUCCGGCUGCCUCCCGAAAACUGUUUACAUGUCCCCCACACCUGCAUGGCAGGAUAUCACCACUUGAUUAUCUACACUUGUUGCCUUUGGGGAUGCUAAGGUCCCCGAGAGGACCCAACUCUCUUGCAUUUUCAGUGACGUCUGAGUACUAUAUAAUAUUUUGAAAAG